UGCAUUCAUGGAGGUGUAUAGCACAGUAAGGAGUAUCAACAAAAAAUCAGUUUAGUUCAUCUAGUCCAUAUCAUAGAUAUUACAUUCAUCUGAUGAGGAUAGGUAAACUGAAUCAUCUUACAGAAAAUGUAUGCUAAGACAUUAUUUGCGUCCCAGUUUCUGUUCCCUACAAUUUUUUGCAAUUAAAUGUAGGUACAGUAUACAAAUAGGAAUAUGACUGGGUGGUAUCAAUUACAGAUAUUGCAAUGUACAGUACGGAAUGAUUUAGUAAGUAUCACGGAUAUUUUCUGACAAAAAACUUAGCAAUUAAAUUGCACACAUAAGGCUAAGAGACACACUUGAAACUAAAUUAUAUGUACAAAAAAAUCAAAGAUCAUAGACAAUGGAAACACACUCAAUUUGAUUUCUCACCCCACGCAUUAACACAAACAAUUAACAUGCAGGCGGUGCACAGAAGAGGAAGGAAGAGGAUCUGGAGUAGUUCACCAGGCAAAUUUGUGGCCGACGUCGGCGCGGAGGCCAAUCUCCGCUGUGCCAAAUCCAUCCUGCUGCUGCUGCAGAAGGAGAAGAGAUCAUCCAUGAACAAUAGGUUAAGCCUAAAAGUAGCAGAUUCCUAGCUAAACCUAGAUCAUCAUGACCAUGAAUGAAACAGAGAACAAGAGAGACCUUCCAUGGCAUUGUCCCUGCAUCUAUCAAGGUGGUGAGCCGCAGCUGUGUGGGGAUGGGAAGAAAAGUAGUUGGAUCCAAUGAAAUCCAAGAGAGGAGAGCUGACCUUUAAGAGAACAACUCUCAUGAUGUCGUGGAUAUAAUCCUGACAAUGUUAGGGGGGUAGGAAUGUACAGUCGGGCGUAUCAUCAAAUUUCAAGUGAAAGUCCGAGGCAUCUGGGAUCAUCAAAUUUCAAGUCACAGUCCCAGGAAUCUGGGCUUGAUCGGAUCAAGCAUUACCAGUCAAUAUCCUUCGGAAGAACACCUGUCGGAAGUCCUUCUGUGAGGAAUAUUCAGCUCCCCAAGGGAAUCUGAGUCGUGCCAUGGAGGAUAUCGCGAGUGCCCCUUGCUCUUUAAGCAGAACAGGUCCACAACGGUUUCCUUCAAGUGGCGGGCACUCGGAUAGCAGGGG
This 1117-nucleotide long non-coding RNA is filed under the name Triticum aestivum (bread wheat). Its description in RNAcentral is "long non-coding RNA (TAES_LNC028201)". The record is from RNAcentral. Lineage: Eukaryota; Viridiplantae; Streptophyta; Magnoliopsida; Poales; Poaceae.